UACAGAGGGUGCGAGCGUUAAUCGGAAUUACUGGGCGUAAAGCGCACGUAGGCGGCUUGGGAUGUCGGGUGUGAAAUCCCCGGGCUCAACCUGGGAACUGCAUCCGAAACUGCCUUGCUCGAGUAUGGGAGAGGGAAGUGGAAUUUCCGGUGUAGCGGUGAAAUGCGUAGAUAUCGGAAGGAACAUCAGUGGCGAAGGCGACUUCCUGGACCAAUACUGACGCUCAGGUGCGAAAGCGUGGGGAGCAAACAGG
Molecule: ribosomal RNA, 253 nt
Filed under: uncultured bacterium
Lineage: Bacteria
Description: partial 16S ribosomal RNA
Rfam family: Bacterial small subunit ribosomal RNA
Source: RNAcentral